Mus musculus (house mouse) is the source of this 2224-nucleotide long non-coding RNA. RefSeq annotates it as predicted gene 29539. The transcript has 3 exons. NCBI's taxonomy places the organism in Eukaryota, Metazoa, Chordata, Mammalia, Rodentia, Muridae. The record is from RefSeq and is a predicted model, not a curated record.
CUGGGCUUCAGGAGAAAAAGAGAGAGAGAGACAUGAGUUGAUGCAAGUGUUCUCCUCCAAGUGGUAAGAUCUGACUUCACUUCUAGAACAACUCCCUCCGCCCUCUUCUCCCAUGCCCUCUCUUUUGCUUUGCUUCCUGCCCUUUUGUUUCCUUAUACAAUGAGCUCUGCUUUGGGGGAGUCUGGAUUAGUGUUGACCUGGGGUCAGUCUAGAGAAGACUUUUAGGGCAAUUUGUCUAAUUUGUAUUUUUGAAGCCUAGACUAUGUGAGAGUGGGGAAUAGAUAUACUAUGUAGGCCGUGGGAUAUAAUCACAUUGCACUUCUAGGCACAGAAAACAUGGCUAGCCCUAAAAGAACUCAGUACACAGACAGGAAGGGACAAGCCUACAAGGCCAUUUUAACUGUUGUGACUUACACUGAGAAUUUUCUCUCAAGGACUAUGGCUGAUGGGUCAAUGGUCUAUAAGAUGGCAUCAGAGGCCAGACAGUUCCUACUGGCAAUGUGUAUAGAUCUGAGCCCCAGAGACUCCAAGAUUCUGCCUCAGUUAUUCUUCUACCUUUGGAUUCGGAGAGCAGAAGAAAAUGUCAGAGACCUGCUCAUUCGCCAGAGCCACCUCAGGGUCACACAGGUGAGCCACGUGUGUGAAGCUGAUGGCCUCUUGCUGGAGAGAUUCCUCCUUGCAAAGCAAGUCAGGUAAUUUUAAAAUCUAAGUAGAGCCCAACAUAGUUGCAUCCAGCUUUCACCCCAACCCUUGGAUGCCAGAAGCAGGCCGUGGUCUAUAUAGCAAGUUUUAGGCCAGCCAGGUCUAUAAGGUAAGACCACGUCUCAAUGACAAACAUCUACCAACAGGGGUUGAGUUGGUGGCACACAUCUGUAAUUGCAGCUACUCAAGAAGCUGAGGUAGGAGGAUUGCAAACUCAAAGACUGUCUGGGAAACUUACUAAGACCCCUAUCUCAAAAUUAAUAAGUUCAGUCAUAGGAUGCUUGCCUGGCAUGCUUGAGGCUGUGGGCUCAAUCUCCAGUCCUAUUCAAAUCAAAUGAUAAAUCCCAAAGCAGGGCUAGAAGGAAAUGGUGGCCUGAAUCACAGGAAGACCCCAGGUGGCCUCUCACAAUGUGUUCCACACAGUGCACCCCUGCUGUCAUGCCUUUGACGCCAUCCCUGGCCACACCUCUACAUUUCUAGACUCUGCAACUGUAAGUCAUCCAGACAUCCCCAACCAGUUGCCCUCGCUUGUCCUCAGGAGCACCAGCCUGGCCCCAGCAGCAUUCUCCAGUUGUCACCCAUUUGAGUGUGCCCUGCCCCCAUGAUUCCUUGUCAUCUCCACAAUUAGGUAGAAGUCUCAUUAAAGACAGGAAUCUCACACAUGGGUAUCGUGUCAUCAUCGGUGGAGCACACUCAGGGUUUUAGGGAUGCAGGCUGGGGAUGGAUCUGGGGUCUGCCAUUUGCUUGUGUGCUAUGGAGUGAGCCCCUAGCACGUGAAACAUACUUAAUACUUGUUGGGUGGAUGAUAAAAGUUAAACUCCAGUUCCUCAAUGGGAAGGUGGAAACGAUAAUACCCUCCCUCCACAUAUAACGGCCUACACAGAAAGUGGAUCCUAGCAAGUGCUUGUAUUCCCAGGCCUGCUCAUGCAGGCCUAACAGUAAGGAUGUUGGUGGUAUGUGUGGAGUCCCAAGAAUGUUCUUUCUCCAAUACUCUUGUCUUUUCUGUCCAGUCCGGAUCUAGGUCUCCUUCUCAGUUCAGCCUACCGAGGGACCAGAACACCCUCUAGGACCCUCACCUAGUCCAGCUGGCUCACUGAGGCCAAAGGGACCACCCACCACGGGAAGCUGCCAAGGCUGAGUGAGGCCUGGGAAGGGAUUGGAUAGCUACCCCACCCCCAAGCCAUCCCUACUCUAGGGCUUGAUGAGAGCCAGCAUCAGCAUUGACCAGGAAGGGUCAGGAGCCCCAGAUCAAGACAGAAUGGCCUAGCGACCAGGACCAACGUGAACACACAAAGGAUUCUUGCAUAGGUUGGACAGCCUGGAGGCAGGGGCUGAACAAGAUGACCUCAAGAGGGCCUGGCCAGUGUCCUGGAAUCUUGGAUUCUGUGAUUCACAAAGAUAUGGUUACAUUGGAGAAAUACACAGAGGCUGGCGGCAGAGUUUAGAAGGCAUGCAUUUGCUACAUAGCAAGACCCUGUCUCAAAACUAAACAAGAAAAAUUAAAAAUAGAAAUCUUGCGUUG